GCAGAAGUGGCGGAAUGGCAGACGCGCCGGCUUCAGGUGCCGGUGGUAGCAAUAUCGUGUGGGUUCAAAUCCCAUCUUCUGCA
RNAcentral lists this transfer RNA (83 nucleotides) under Lachnospiraceae bacterium. RNAcentral describes it as "tRNA-Leu". It matches the Rfam family "tRNA". Rfam says of the family: Transfer RNA (tRNA) molecules are approximately 80 nucleotides in length. Their secondary structure includes four short double-helical elements and three loops (D, anti-codon, and T loops). RNAcentral also lists the same sequence under 1 other name. Lineage: Bacteria; Bacillati; Bacillota; Clostridia; Lachnospirales; Lachnospiraceae. The record is from RNAcentral.